CAGGCGGUUUGAGGUCUGAGGUUUCGGUUGGUCCUUCACGGAAACAUGGUGUCCGCUUCGGUGCUUUGUCUUUUAACGGUAGCCUUUAUCUGUCGAGAGGCAGCAGCAGACAGACAACUUAAAUAUGUGACUGUGUUGUUUCGUCAUGGUGACAGGUCACCAGUCAGAGCCUAUCCCACCGACCCGCACCAAGAGAGCGACUGGCCACAAGGCUUUGGACAGCUGUCACAGGAGGGGAUGAAGCAGCACUUUGAACUGGGCCAGUUUCUAAGGAACCGAUAUAAAGGAUUCCUCAAUGAAUCCUACCUUAGACAUGAGAUCUCGGUUCGCAGCACAGACUACGAUCGCACCCUGAUGAGCGCUGAGGCCAACCUCGCAGGUCUCUACCCCCCCAGUGGUCAGCAGGUCUUCACGAAAGACCUGCUGUGGCAGCCGAUACCCGUACACACUGUGCCACUAAGUGAAGAGAGGCUCCUCUCUUUUCCUCUGUCUGACUGUCCUCGCUACAAACAACUGAUGAAUGAAACGGAGCACACAGAGAAAUUUAUCAAUGUCACCAUUGAAUACCAGGACAUUCUAGAGCUGGUGAGGAAUAAAACAGGGCUGAAUAAGACGACCGUGGAGUCAGUCUGGAGUGUGUACGACACACUCUUCUGUGAGUCUCGUCACAACAUGUCAGCUCCUGAUUGGGUGACUCCUGUUGUCAUGGAGAAGCUCAGAGAGCUCAAAGACUUUGGAUUUCAGGUUACAUUCGGGGUCCACAAACAACAAGAAAAGAGCCGGCUGCAGGGAGGUAUGCUGUUGGGUGAAAUAGUGAAGAAUCUCUCCAAGAUGGCUGCCCCAGACCCAAAACAGAGGCUGAAAUUCAUGAUGCUUUCGGCGCACGACACCACUGUUGCCGCUCUGCAGUCCAGCCUCGAUGUGUUCAACGGAAGACAGCCGCCAUACGCCUCCUGUCACAUGUUUGAGCUGUACAGAGACGACAACGGCUCUGCUUCGGUGUCGAUGUUUUUCCGGAACAACAGCAAAGUGGAGCCGUAUCCUCUGCAGUUACCAGGCUGCUCCCUUGACUGCCCCCUGGAUGAGUUUGUGAGACUUACAAAGCCCUCGAUCUCAGAUGACCGAGACAAAGAGUGUCAGUUGCCCUCAGAGGGGAGAGAUACAGAAGUGAUCAUCAGUCUGGUGGUGUCCAGCUGUCUGCUCUUCUUUCUCAUCGUCCUUCUCCUCGGCAUCGUUUGUUGGCGGAAGGAUCCAAUCACCAACCGGGGAUACCACCAUGUGAUCAACCAGGAAGGCGGAGAGGAAUCCUGACAGAAGCACAAACUCCUCCCUCGGAGGUCUGCGAGCCUGGCAUCCUGGGACAGCAGCGAUGACGAUGAACUCUAAAACCCCCGAGGGUCCUUUUUGAUGGUUUCGUGAACAAGUGCAGGUCUGAUUUUCCUUAAAAUAACAGCACAAAAAGGACUUUACCUGAUUGCAGAGACCUGAGACUAAAACUUUUAAAUUUAAAUUUAAACUUGAUUAGAUAAAAUAUUUCUAUACUAAAUCCCAGUGCAAAAUUAAAUUUUCUUGUCAGUUUAUUCAUAAUUUGCUGCUUUGUGUGCACAGUGUGUGUGAUGUCCCUGAGGCCAAAUGACUGAGCUGCCUUAAAUAUUUGUAGUAUUAUGGAGUAAUAUUUUUUUUGUUGUUGUUCUGGUGUAACACAUUUUUGAUUGAGCUUCUUCAAAUAGGUGCUUUUGAUUGAUGAAAGGAGCAGCAGGGUGGUGUUGAACUUUGGAAAACUCUCCCAGAGAGAACUGGCUGAAACUUAAUGACUGCAAGACACUAAAACACCAGCAAAUAAAAGCAAAAUGUAUAAUUUAGUUAGUUUUUUUGUGUCAGCAAGAAUUAAAUCAACAUUGGGAUCAUAUAAACCAGCAUCUUACAGAUAGACAUCGCUUCUUUUGGAAACACUGGAAAUCUGUACAUUUGUGUGUGUGUGUUUAUUUUAAUCUGGCUGCCUUAAAAAAAAAAGAAUCAUCUUUGAAUUAUUUAAAUAUGAAAAUUGUGUUGUCUUUGAACCAAUCCUUUAAAAUGUAGAGCACAUAUUGGAUACAUUUCCUCAAGUGAUAUUAUUGAAAACCAUGACCUGCGCACUUUGAAGGUUCAGCUCAGGCAGUUUUAGAUAUACAGAUCACCCAGGGUUUUAUACAAUGUUGUUCACCUCGUUACGAAAUAAAAAUCUAAUAUAUAUUAAAAAAAAAUCCUGGCAUGAUCAGGAUUUUUUCCGCCCGAGUCAGGAUUCUGGACUUUGAAUUAAUUUGCGCAAAUUAAAAAAUAUUUGUAGUUAAUUCAAA
Molecule: non-coding RNA, 2336 nt
Organism: Plectropomus leopardus (leopard coralgrouper)
Lineage: Eukaryota; Metazoa; Chordata; Actinopteri; Perciformes; Serranidae
Source: RefSeq, a predicted model, not a curated record